UGGAAUGUAGGACAACUUGGCAGUCCGCUUGGUUUGGGACCAAGACGUUGUGGGUUCAAAUCCCGUCAUUCCAA
RNAcentral lists this transfer RNA (74 nucleotides) under Caudoviricetes sp. Its description in RNAcentral is "tRNA-Pro". It matches the Rfam family "tRNA". From Rfam's summary of the family: Transfer RNA (tRNA) molecules are approximately 80 nucleotides in length. Their secondary structure includes four short double-helical elements and three loops (D, anti-codon, and T loops). Further hydrogen bonds mediate the characteristic L-shaped molecular structure. tRNAs have two regions of fundamental functional importance: the anti-codon, which is responsible for specific mRNA codon recognition, and the 3' end, to which the tRNAs corresponding amino acid is attached (by aminoacyl-tRNA synthetases). tRNAs cope with the degeneracy of the genetic code in two manners: having more than one tRNA (with a specific anti-codon) for a particular amino acid; and 'wobble' base-pairing, i.e. permitting non-standard base-pairing at the 3rd anti-codon position. Lineage: Duplodnaviria; Heunggongvirae; Uroviricota; Caudoviricetes. The record is from RNAcentral.